ACUCAGCCUUGAGGGCACUUUC
This 22-nucleotide microRNA is filed under the name Homo sapiens (human). RNAcentral describes it as "Hsa-Mir-430-P8b_5p* (star (passenger))". The record is from RNAcentral. Lineage: Eukaryota; Metazoa; Chordata; Mammalia; Primates; Hominidae.